Molecule: unclassified non-coding RNA, 406 nt
Filed under: soil metagenome
Description: partial contains 5.8S ribosomal RNA, internal transcribed spacer 2, and large subunit ribosomal RNA
Rfam family: 5.8S ribosomal RNA (bases 1-121)
Source: RNAcentral
GAUGAAGAACGUAGCGAAAUGCGAUAAGUAAUGUGAAUUGCAGAAUUCAGUGAAUCAUCGAAUCUUUGAACGCACCUUGCGCCCUUUGGCCAUUCCGAAGGGCAUGCCUGUUUGAGUAUCAUGAACACCUCAACUCUUCAUGGUUUUCCGUGAUGAGCUUGGACUUUGGGGGUCUUGCUGGCCUAUGGUCAGCUCCUCUAAAAUAAAUCAGCUUGCCAGUGUUUGGUGGGUAUCACAGGUGUGAUAACUAUCUACGCUUGUGGUUUUCCACCAGGUAACCUUCAGCAGUGGAGGUUCGCUGGAGCUCACAGAUGUGUCUCUCCUCAGUGACGACAGCUCUUUGAAUGUUUGAUCUCAAAUCAGGUAGGACUACCCGCUGAACUUAAGCAUAUCAAUAAGCGGAGGA